This 420-nucleotide ribosomal RNA is filed under the name uncultured bacterium. Its description in RNAcentral is "bacterial SSU rRNA". It matches the Rfam family "Bacterial small subunit ribosomal RNA", at positions 355 to 786 of the family's 1533-position model. The record is from RNAcentral.
UGGGGAAUAUUGCACAAUGGGCGAAAGCCUGAUGCAGCGACGCCGCGUGGGGGGAUGACGGCCUUCGGGUUGUAAACCCCUUUCAGCAGGGAAGAAGCGUAAGUGACGGUACCUGCAGAAGAAGCGCCGGCUAACUACGUGCCAGCAGCCGCGGUAAUACGUAGGGCGCAAGCGUUAUCCGGAAUUAUUGGGCGUAAAGAGCUCGUAGGCGGUUUGUCGCGUCGGCCGUGAAAACUCAACGCUUAACGUUGAGCUUGCGGUCGAUACGGGCAGACUUGAGUUCGGUAGGGGAGACUGGAAUUCCCGGUGUAGCGGUGAAAUGCGCAGAUAUCGGGAGGAACACCAAUGGCGAAGGCAGCUCGCUGGGACGUGACUGACGCUGAGACGCGAAAGCGUGGGGAGCAAACAGGAUUAGAUACC